Molecule: non-coding RNA, 210 nt
Organism: Pseudonaja textilis
Lineage: Eukaryota; Metazoa; Chordata; Lepidosauria; Squamata; Elapidae
Source: RefSeq, a predicted model, not a curated record
UGUUUCAACUCCUUCCCUCAAAACGACGCUUUAUAAAUAUAUCUCCAAACCAGGAAAGCCAUUACAGACACAAUAGAAAUGGCCCAACGCUCUUUCGAGACACAAGCCUCCUCAUUACAUCAUCUCAGAGAGUCCAGGCUUCAAUCAAAUUUAAAUCAGACAACCUAAAAAGUUAGCUAUGACCCCUAUAUAGCUCCCUGGGAGUCUGAC